UGGUCCAGUAUCUGGAGCCUGGAUCUCGUCAUUGUUCCGCAAAACUUGGUAUAAAACACAGAGAGUCCUGCCAAGGUUUCACUCGCAGAAAAAACAACAACAUAUAACCAGAGUAAUGGCCGGGUACCAUCACUGCAUCUCCCUGGCCUUGCUGUGUCUCUUGCUGUGCCAAGACUCUCUGGCAACCGAACCAUACAAAAGUACGGCGUGCGAGGCCUAUAGUUCAUCAGGUCCAUUUGGGCCCCACGCAGUAUUCCUCAUGGAUCAUUUCCUCCCGGAUGGAGCACCAAACACAGCUGACGAAAGCGCUUGGAAUGAAUACCUUGGAACAUAUGAUCACAUGAUCAGAAACUUCCAGUCCUACCUGAUGCCCAACGAUCUAAAUCAUGUGAUGGACGUGUGCAAAAACAGUGGGGGCCGGCAGUUCACAGGCAAAUCGAAUAGAUUUGGGUCAAACGGAAGGACGGACCUGUGCAUCAGCAAGAGGCCAUUCAAAUUUCUCACAGUACACAAGGUAGAUAAUAGAUGGGUACCUCGCGUCAUAGCCGAGGAAAGGAACCUGAUUCUGGGCUGUGCCAAAGUGCAAAACGGUUGUAAGCCCGUCCACUUCGAGCGCAACAAUUGUGACGCAAAGCCUAAUGACGAGGAUAAAGGCUGCGAAGGCGGCCCACCAUAAUAUAAUCUCUAGAGUCUUUGGUGGUGGCUGUAGUCGGCCCUGCUUCUACCUAUCUGCGGUCGUUCCUUUUUGACAGCAGGGGCUUUUAGUAUCCAUGCUUUAUAUUAAUCACAUUUAUUUUCAAAGCUUAAUAUUUUUGGAAGAAUUGAGCGUGUAAGCCUACUACUAAUUUGACAAAUGUGGCAUGAUAUGAAAAGUGUUCCGGUCUGUUAAUUUCUUUCAAAGUGUAAACAUUCACAACGUUUCUAUGUAUUGAAUUACCUUCAAAUCCACCAAUUUAAAUAUAUAUACAUUUGAACAUAGAGAUAGAUAGAUAUAUAUGAAAAAUUCUCUAAUUAAACAAUUUGGUAGACUUUGUGCCACAUACUCUCGACCUAUAAGCCAACAUGCGUAUUUGUUCCCCUUAAGCCUACUACUUUAUUUUUCUGGCUUUCUGUGAUCGAACCCGUCUCUGUUCUGAGUCACUAUUGACCCUUCUUCCUAAUGCUAUAUGAAGUACUGCAAUAAAUUCUACCUGGUUCAA
This is an RNA transcript of Gadus morhua (Atlantic cod), 1199 nucleotides long. RefSeq lists it as uncharacterized. The record is from RefSeq and is a predicted model, not a curated record. The transcript has 2 exons. NCBI's taxonomy places the organism in Eukaryota, Metazoa, Chordata, Actinopteri, Gadiformes, Gadidae.